Small nucleolar RNA from Tachyglossus aculeatus (Australian echidna), 138 nucleotides. The record is from RefSeq and is a predicted model, not a curated record. NCBI's taxonomy places the organism in Eukaryota, Metazoa, Chordata, Mammalia, Monotremata, Tachyglossidae.
CACCUCUCAGGGUCGCACCUGGAGAGUUUCCAGUACUCUACCAGUCUUGACUACGGGAGGGAGAAUCAAGCAGAGGCCUAUUCAUUCCAUUCCUAACUUGGCCACUGGCUAAUGAGUGGCAGGCAAUCUGCUACAAGU